Daphnia pulex (common water flea) is the source of this 82-nucleotide non-coding RNA. The record is from Rfam. Lineage: Eukaryota; Metazoa; Arthropoda; Branchiopoda; Diplostraca; Daphniidae.
GAUAGUGUGGCCGAGUGGUCUAUGGCGCUGGUUUUGGGCACCAGUCUCUUCGGAGGCAAAGGUUCGAAUCCCUUCACUGUGA